AUACGGAAGGUCCGGGCGUUAUCCGGAUUUAUUGGGUUUAAAGGGAGCGCAGGCGGAGAUGCAAGCGUGACGUCAAAUUUCGGGGCUCAACCCCGUCUCGCGUCGCGAACUGCGUCCCUUGGUUGCGGGAAGGGGAGGCGGAACUCGUGGUGUAGGGGGUGAAUGCAUAGAUAUCACGAAGAACUCCGAUCGCGAAGGCAGCCUUCCGGCCCGUCAACGACGCUCAUGCUCGAAGGUGCGGGUAUCAAACAGGAUUAGAUACCCUGGUAGUCCGCACAGUAAACGAUGGACACCCGCGGUUUGGCCUGUAUGGCUGAGCCGCCAAGCGAAAGCGUUAAGUGUCCCACCUGGGGAGUACGCCGGCAACGGUGAAACUCAAAUGAAUUGACGGGG
Molecule: ribosomal RNA, 393 nt
Filed under: uncultured bacterium
Lineage: Bacteria
Description: partial 16S ribosomal RNA
Rfam family: Bacterial small subunit ribosomal RNA
Source: RNAcentral